UACGUAGGUGGCAAGCGUUGUCCGGAUUUAUUGGGCGUAAAGAGCGCGCAGGCGGUUCGUUUAGUGCGAGGUGAAAUCUCCCGGCUCAACUGGGAGGGGUCUUCGCAUACUGGCGAGCUUGAGGAGAGCAGAGGUGAGCGGAAUGAUCGGUGUAGUGGUGAAAUGCGUAGAUAUCGAUCGGAACACCGGUGGCGAAGGCGGCUCACUGGGCUCCACCUGACGCUGAGGCGCGAAAGCGUGGGGAGCGAACCGG
Molecule: ribosomal RNA, 253 nt
Filed under: uncultured bacterium
Lineage: Bacteria
Description: partial 16S ribosomal RNA
Rfam family: Bacterial small subunit ribosomal RNA
Source: RNAcentral